RNAcentral lists this ribosomal RNA (321 nucleotides) under Triticum aestivum (bread wheat). Its description in RNAcentral is "partial small subunit ribosomal RNA". The record is from RNAcentral. Lineage: Eukaryota; Viridiplantae; Streptophyta; Magnoliopsida; Poales; Poaceae.
AUGCAACCCAAAGGGCUUCACCGCAGUGAAGGACAGCAGUUGUGGCAGAAGGUGAAAAGGCAAGUGGUGGUGGUACUCCAGUGUAUGUGUGUGUGUGAGGUGGAAUGGACCACAGUGAAAGGAAUGGCUCCUAUUUAUAGUGGGGUUAGUAGCUAUGUCGGUUUGGAGAGGCAUUACAUCUGGCAUGCAUGCGUGGUUAGGCUUGCAUGCAUGCCUCCACUUGUGUCUCUUGUAGGCUGUACUAGGGACAAGUGUAAUUUGCUUGACUGGCCAUUAGUUGGCAUUUACUUUAUGUGGAAAAAAAAUGAGACCAAGAUCUGA